CCUACGGGAGGCAGCAGUGGGGAAUAUUGGACAAUGGGGGGAACCCUCAUCCAGCGACGCCGCGUGAGUGAAGAAGUAUUUCGGUAUGUAAAGCUCUAUCAGCAGGGAAGAAAGAAAUGACGGUACCUGACUAAGAAGCCCCGGCUAACUACGUGCCAGCAGCCGCGGUAAUACGUAGGGGGCAAGCGUUAUCCGGAUUUACUGGGUGUAAAGGGAGCGUAGACGGCGAUGCAAGUCUGAAGUGAAAGGCGGGGGCCCAACCCCCGGACUGCUUUUGAAACUGUAUGGCUGGAGUGCAGGAGAGGUAAGUGGAAUUCCUAGUGUAGCGGUGAAAUGCGUAGAGAUUAGGAGGAACACCAGUGGCGAAGGCGGCUUACUGGACUGUAACUGACGUUGAGGCUCGAAAGCGUGGGGAGCAAACAGGAUUAGAUACCCUGGUAGUC
RNAcentral lists this ribosomal RNA (443 nucleotides) under uncultured bacterium. RNAcentral's name for it is "partial 16S ribosomal RNA". It matches the Rfam family "Bacterial small subunit ribosomal RNA", at positions 338 to 795 of the family's 1533-position model. The record is from RNAcentral.